UGGCGGCAGCUUACCAUGCAAGUCGAGCGGUAACAUUUCUAGCUUGCUAGAAGAUGACGAGCGGCGGACGGGUGAGUAAUACUUAGGAAUCUACCUAGUAGUGGGGGAUAGCUCGGGGAAACUCGAAUUAAUACCGCAUACGACCUACGGGAGAAAGGGGGCAACUUGUUGCUCUCGCUAUUAGAUGAGCCUAAGUCGGAUUAGCUAGAUGGUGGGGUAAAGGCCUACCAUGGCGACGAUCUGUAGCUGGUCUGAGAGGAUGAUCAGCCACACCGGGACUGAGACACGGCCCGGACUCCUACGGGAGGCAGCAGUGGGGAAUAUUGGACAAUGGGGGAAACCCUGAUCCAGCCAUGCCGCGUGUGUGAAGAAGGCCUUUUGGUUGUAAAGCACUUUAAGCAGUGAAGAAGACUCUUCGGUUAAUACCCGGAGACGAUGACAUUAGCUGCAGAAUAAGCACCGGCUAACUCUGUGCCAGCAGCCGCGGUAAU
This 491-nucleotide ribosomal RNA is filed under the name uncultured bacterium. Its description in RNAcentral is "bacterial SSU rRNA". It matches the Rfam family "Bacterial small subunit ribosomal RNA", at positions 37 to 524 of the family's 1533-position model. The record is from RNAcentral.